UACGUAGGUGGCAAGCGUUGUCCGGAAUUAUUGGGCGUAAAGCGCGCGCAGGCGGUCCUUUAAGUCUGAUGUGAAAGCCCGGGGCUCACCCCCGGAAGGGCAUUGGAAACUGGCGGACUCGAGUCCCGGAGAGGAGGGUGGAAUUCCUGGUGUAGCGGUGAAAUGCGUAGAUAUCAGGAGGAACACCGGUGGCGAAGGCGGCCCUCUGGACGGUGACUGACGCUGAGACGCGAAAGCGUGGGGAGCAAACGGG
Molecule: ribosomal RNA, 253 nt
Filed under: uncultured bacterium
Lineage: Bacteria
Description: partial 16S ribosomal RNA
Rfam family: Bacterial small subunit ribosomal RNA
Source: RNAcentral